This 331-nucleotide ribosomal RNA is filed under the name uncultured bacterium. Its description in RNAcentral is "bacterial SSU rRNA". It matches the Rfam family "Bacterial small subunit ribosomal RNA", at positions 568 to 898 of the family's 1533-position model. The record is from RNAcentral.
CGCGCAGGCGGCCAACCAAGUCAGGCGUGAAAGCCCCGGGCUUAACCUGGGAAUUGCGCUUGGGACUGUUUGGCUCGAGUACGGGAGAGGAGAGUGGAAUUCCCAGUGUAGAGGUGAAAUUCGUAGAUAUUGGGAAGAACACCGGUGGCGAAGGCGGCUCUCUGGACCGUAACUGACGCUGAGGCGCGAAAGCGUGGGGAGCAAACAGGAUUAGAUACCCUGGUAGUCCACGCUGUAAACGAUGUGCGCUAGACGUUGGAGGACCUAGUUCUCCGGUGUCGCAGCUAACGCUUUAAGCGCACCGCCUGGGGAGUACGGCCGCAAGGUUAAA